GACGAACGCUGGCGGCGUGCCUAAUACAUGCAAGUCGAACGCUUUUUCUUUCACCGGAGCUUGCUCCACCGAAAGAAAAGAAGUGGCGAACGGGUGAGUAACACGUGGGUAACCUGCCCAUCAGAAGGGGAUAACACUUGGAAACAGGUGCUAAUACCGUAUAACAAUCGAAACCGCAUGGUUUCGGUUUGAAAGGCGCUUUUGCGUCACUGAUGGAUGGACCCGCGGUGCAUUAGCUAGUUGGUGAGGUAACGGCUCACCAAGGCAACGAUGCAUAGCCGACCUGAGAGGGUGAUCGGCCACAUUGGGACUGAGACACGGCCCAAACUCCUACGGGAGGCAGCAGUAGGGAAUCUUCGGCAAUGGACGAAAGUCUGACCGAGCAACGCCGCGUGAGUGAAGAAGGUUUUCGGAUCGUAAAACUCUGUUGUUAGAGAAGAACAAGGAUGAGAGUAAAAUGUUCAUCCCUUGACGGUAUCUAACCAGAAAGCCACGGCUAACUACGUGCCAGCAGCCGCGGUAAUACGUAGGUGGCAAGCGUUGUCCGGAUUUAUUGGGCGUAAAGCGAGCGCAGGCGGUUUCUUAAGUCUGAUGUGAAAGCCCCCGGCUCAACCGGGGAGGGUCAUUGGAAACUGGGAAACUUGAGUGCAGAAGAGGAGAGUGGAAUUCCAUGUGUAGCGGUGAAAUGCGUAGAUAUAUGGAGGAACACCAGUGGCGAAGGCGGCUCUCUGG
RNAcentral lists this ribosomal RNA (732 nucleotides) under uncultured Bacilli bacterium. Its description in RNAcentral is "bacterial SSU rRNA". It matches the Rfam family "Bacterial small subunit ribosomal RNA", at positions 28 to 732 of the family's 1533-position model. The record is from RNAcentral. Lineage: Bacteria; Bacillati; Bacillota; Bacilli.